This 497-nucleotide ribosomal RNA is filed under the name uncultured bacterium. RNAcentral's name for it is "partial 16S ribosomal RNA". It matches the Rfam family "Bacterial small subunit ribosomal RNA", at positions 28 to 507 of the family's 1533-position model. The record is from RNAcentral.
GAUGAACGCUGGCGGCGUGCCUAAUACAUGCAAGUCGAGCGAACGGACGAGACUCUUGCUUCUCUGAUGUUAGCGGCGGACGGGUGAGUAACACGUGUAUAACCUACCUAUAAGACUGGGAUAACUUCGGGAAACCGGAGCUAAUCCCGGAUAAUAUUUUGAACCGCAUGGUUCAAAAGUGAAAUACGGUCUUGCUGUCACUUAUAGAUGGAUCCGCGCUGCAUUAGCUAGUUGGUAAGGUAACGGGUUACCAAGGCAACGAUGCAUAGCCGACCUGAGAGACUGAUAGGCCACCCUAGAGCUGGGACACGGUCCAUGCUACUACGAGAGGCAGCAGUCGGCUACCUUACGCAAUAGGCGAAAGCAUGGCGGAGCAACGCCACGUGAGUGACAGCGGUCUUCGGAGCGUGAAACUCUGUUAUUAGGGAAGAACAGAUGUCUACGUUGCUGUGCAGAGCUUGGCGGUACCUAAUCAGAAAGCAACGGCUAACUACGUG